RNAcentral lists this ribosomal RNA (253 nucleotides) under uncultured bacterium. Its description in RNAcentral is "partial 16S ribosomal RNA". It matches the Rfam family "Bacterial small subunit ribosomal RNA", at positions 524 to 776 of the family's 1533-position model. The record is from RNAcentral.
UACAUGGGGUGCAAACGUUGCUCGGAAUUACUGGGCGUAAAGCGUGCGCAGGCGGCUUUGCAAGACAGAUGUGAAAUCCCCGGGCUUAACCUGGGAACUGCAUUUGUGACUGCAUGGCUGGAGUGCGGCAGAGGGGGAUGGAAUUCCGCGUGUAGCAGUGAAAUGCGUAGAUAUGCGGAGGAACACCGAUGGCGAAGGCAAUCCCCUGGGCCUGCACUGACGCUCAUGCACGAAAGCGUGGGGAGCAAACAGG